UACGUAGGUGGCAAGCGUUGUCCGGAAUUAUUGGGCGUAAAGCGCGCGCAGGCGGUCCUUUAAGUCUGAUGUGAAAGCCCACGGCUCAACCGUGGAGGGUCAUUGGAAACUGGGGGACUUGAGUGCAGGAGAGAAGAGUGGAAUUCCACGUGUAGCGGUGAAAUGCGUAGAUAUCAGGAGGAACACCGGUGGCGAAGGCGGGUCUCUGGGCCGAAAUUGACGCUGAGGAGCGAAAGCGUGGGGAGCAAACAGG
This 253-nucleotide ribosomal RNA is filed under the name uncultured bacterium. RNAcentral describes it as "partial 16S ribosomal RNA". It matches the Rfam family "Bacterial small subunit ribosomal RNA", at positions 524 to 776 of the family's 1533-position model. The record is from RNAcentral.